Molecule: unclassified non-coding RNA, 419 nt
Filed under: Hevea brasiliensis (rubber tree)
Lineage: Eukaryota; Viridiplantae; Streptophyta; Magnoliopsida; Malpighiales; Euphorbiaceae
Source: RNAcentral
GGACAAUGCAUAAGGUCAACCAGUAGUUCUAUAGAAUCCAGAAUGACUGUGACAUAGAUGUGCUUAGAUGAAUCUGCACACUCCAGUGCUCCUCCUCUUGGGAAACCCACAAUCAGCUUGCACUCAAGGCCCACAGUAUCAGCAAGAACUUUGAAUAAGAUUGCUCGAGAAUGGCAGGAACCAUCCUUUAUUUGGCACAGCAUGUGGAUUCCUUGACUACCCAAAGCAUGUGAGACCUCCUCAAGUGUACCACUCACAUGAGUGGACUUGUACUUAGGAUGCUUAUAGAAAUCACAAACCAACCCUGCAAUCUUCUUCACAACUACAGCUGGAGUCGAACUCAAUCCUUUCACUAAAGUGAGAGUGAGCUGUUUUAACAUGGAAAGCUUCUUAUCUUUAUGCAUAUUGACAAGAAUAAC